RNAcentral lists this ribosomal RNA (407 nucleotides) under uncultured bacterium. RNAcentral's name for it is "bacterial SSU rRNA". It matches the Rfam family "Bacterial small subunit ribosomal RNA", at positions 64 to 507 of the family's 1533-position model. The record is from RNAcentral.
GCACGAGAAAGGGGCAACCUGAGUCAAGUGGCGUACGGGUGAGUAACACGUGGAUCAUCUACCUUUUAGGGGGGUAUACCCCCGGGAAACUGGGGACAAUACCGCAUAAGCUCGUAAGAGGAAAUCAGUGAGGCGGGUGGAGAGGGGCUCGCGGCUGAUUAGCUCGUUGGCGGGGUAACGGCCCACCAAGGCGAAGAUCGGUAUCCGGCCUGAGAGGGCGCACGGACACACUGGAAGUGAGACACGGUCCAGACUCCUACGGGAGGCAGCAGUGGGGAAUUUUGCGCAAUGGGGGAAACCCUGACGCAGCAACGCCGCGUGGAGGAUGAAGCCCUUUGGGGCGUAAACUCCUUUCGACCAAGACGAUAAUGACGGUACUGGUGGAAGAAGCACCGGCUAACUCUGUG